GUAUUUGAAUUGUUUAUUCAUAAUAGUUUUCAGACAGACAGUUAAAAAAUAAAGGUUGAUGUUUGGUCGAUCUCCAUGAAGAAGAUCGACUGACAUUGCACACAAGGUGGAUAUGGAUUUAAAAAGUGCCAUAAAACACUUAUUAUGAAUGAUCCUUCCGCAGGUUCACCUACGGAAA
RNAcentral lists this unclassified non-coding RNA (178 nucleotides) under uncultured fungus. RNAcentral describes it as "sequence contains ITS1". Lineage: Eukaryota; Fungi. The record is from RNAcentral.